AACGAACGCUGGCGGCGCGCCUAACACAUGCAAGUCGAACGAGAAUCCGGGGCAACCCGGUAGUAAAGUGGCAAACGGGUGAGGAAUACAUGGGUAACCUGCCCUUGAGAAGGGAAUAACCCGCCGAAAGGUGAGCUAAUACCCUAUACGCUUUGCUCUUCAUGGAGAGUAAAGGAAAGUCAAGCCGUGGGCUUGGCACUCAAGGAGGGGCUCAUGUCCUAUCAGCUUGUUGGUGGGGUAACGGCCUACCAAGGCUACGACGGGUAGCUGGUCUGAGAGGAUGAUCAGCCACACUGGCACUGAGAUACGGGCCAGACUCCUACGGGAGGCAGCAGUGAGGAAUAUUGCGCAAUGGGCGAAAGC
RNAcentral lists this ribosomal RNA (363 nucleotides) under uncultured bacterium. Its description in RNAcentral is "bacterial SSU rRNA". It matches the Rfam family "Bacterial small subunit ribosomal RNA", at positions 29 to 382 of the family's 1533-position model. The record is from RNAcentral.